AUGAACGCUAGCGGCAGGCUUAAUACAUGCAAGUCGAGGGGCAGCAUGAGUAGCAAUACUUGAUGGCGACCGGCAAACGGGUGCGGAACACGUACACAACCUUCCUUAAGUGGGAAUAGCCCAGAGAAAUUUGGAUUAAUACCCCGUAACAUAUAGAUGUGGCAUCACAAUUAUAUUAUAGGUUUACCGCUUAAAGAUGGGUGUGCGGCUGAUUAGAUAGUUGGCGGGGUAAUGGCCCACCAAGUCUACGAUCAGUAGCUGAUGUGAGAGCAUGAUCAGCCACACGGGCACUGAGACACGGGCCCGACUCCUACGGGAGGCAGCAGUAAGGAAUAUUGGACAAUGGACGCAAGUCUGAUCCAGCCAUGCCGCGUGAAGGAUUUAAGGUCCUCUGGAUUGUAAACUUCUUUUAUAUGGGACGAAAAAAGGGCAUUCUUGCUCACUUGACGGUACCAUAUGAAUAAGCACCGGCUAACUCCGUG
RNAcentral lists this ribosomal RNA (482 nucleotides) under uncultured bacterium. RNAcentral's name for it is "bacterial SSU rRNA". It matches the Rfam family "Bacterial small subunit ribosomal RNA", at positions 29 to 507 of the family's 1533-position model. The record is from RNAcentral.